This 133-nucleotide non-coding RNA is filed under the name Dasypus novemcinctus (nine-banded armadillo). Lineage: Eukaryota; Metazoa; Chordata; Mammalia; Cingulata; Dasypodidae. The record is from RNAcentral.
GUGUUGUAUGAAAGGAGAGAAGGUUAGUACUCCCCUUGACAGGGGUAGAAGAGGCCCUCGGGCCACGCAUACAACAACACACAUACAGCUAAGGCAUUGCCACCUAUUUCGUGGCACCUACCCACUGUUUUUU